This 233-nucleotide ribosomal RNA is filed under the name uncultured bacterium. Its description in RNAcentral is "partial 16S ribosomal RNA". It matches the Rfam family "Bacterial small subunit ribosomal RNA", at positions 15 to 230 of the family's 1533-position model. The record is from RNAcentral.
GAUCAUGGCUCAGGAUGAACGCUGGCGGCGUGCUUAACACAUGCAAGUCGAACGAAGCACCUUGAUUUGAUUCUUCGGAUGAAGAUCUUGGUGACUGAGUGGCGGACGGGUGAGUAACGCGUAUCCAACCUGCCCACCACUUGGGGAUAACCUUGCGAAAGUAAGACUAAUACCCAAUGAUAUCUCUAGAAGACAUCUGAAAGAGAUUAAAGAUUCAUCGGUGAUGGAUGGGG